RNAcentral lists this ribosomal RNA (557 nucleotides) under Hepatozoon sp. JPM-2014. RNAcentral describes it as "bacterial SSU rRNA". It matches the Rfam family "Eukaryotic small subunit ribosomal RNA", at positions 365 to 924 of the family's 1831-position model. The record is from RNAcentral. Lineage: Eukaryota; Apicomplexa; Hepatozoidae.
CGGGGGAUUAGGGUUCGAUUCCGGAGAGGGAGCCUGAGAAACGGCUACCACAUCUAAGGAAGGCAGCAGGCGCGCAAAUUACCCAAUUCUAACAGUUUGAGAGAGGUAGUAACAAGAAAUAACAAUACAAGGCAGUUAAAAUGCUUUGUAAUUGGAAUGAUAGAAAUUUAAACCCUUUUUAAAGUAUCAAUUGGAGGGCAAGUCUGGUGCCAGCAGCCGCGGUAAUUCCAGCUCCAAUAGCGUAUAUUAAAAUUGUUGCAGUUAAAAAGCUCGUAGUUGAAGUUCUGCURAAAGUAACCGGUCUGCUUUUAAUAAAAGUGGUAUCUUGGUAUGUAUUUAGCAAUGAUGUCCUUUGAAGUGUUUUUUACUUUAUUGUAAUAAAGCAUAUUCAGGACUUUUACUUUGAGAAAAUUAGAGUGUUUCUAGCAGGCUGACGCUUUGAAUACUGCAGCAUGGAAUAAUAAGAUAGGAUUUUAGUUCUACAUUAUUGGUUUUAAGAGCUAAAUUAAUGAUUGAUAGGGACAGUUGGGGGCAUUUGUAUUUAACUGUCAGAGGUG